CUGAGAUUUCGUCACACACUAAACCACAAGGGCUGAUGAGACUUCCAAGAUAAGUGAAGCG
Molecule: non-coding RNA, 61 nt
Organism: Schistosoma mattheei
Lineage: Eukaryota; Metazoa; Platyhelminthes; Trematoda; Strigeidida; Schistosomatidae
Source: Rfam